Molecule: long non-coding RNA, 858 nt
Organism: Cyprinus carpio (common carp)
Lineage: Eukaryota; Metazoa; Chordata; Actinopteri; Cypriniformes; Cyprinidae
Source: Ensembl
CCUUCUCUAGCGCCGCGUCUCAAAGCCGGGGCCCUCUAAUAAGACUGACCCCUCGCUGUCAUGUACCGGCCAGAUAUUCACCGCGUUGCCUGCUUGAGAGGCUGCUGGAGAAAGGAUAUAAAUGUCACUCACAGCACCGCUUGAAAAUCCCAGUCUAUGUCUGCUUACAGUCCUGAUUUUCCAAAACACUCUACCUCAUCGCAAAUGUCACAUUACUGAAGCGAACACAGUUUUAUCCUGACCGUAAAAGACUACAGCUGAUCAUAAAAAUAUCUAAACCACAGGAGUAAUUCUGCUAAUGAGCAUAUGGCAGCGGCGUCUGAUAAUGAAGAGAAAGGUCAUUAAAUGAGACUUCGACAUCUGAUACAUAAAGAACGAGGCUGAAUGGAAUAGAUUUUACAGUGCUUGACGAUCAAGGUGAUGAUCUUGUAUCUCGGCGCAGUGGCCCUCGGGGAAGUCGACUGUAAUUGGACGAACUCAUCACCUAAUGUGCCGGCAGCGAGGAGCUCCGCCCUUCAUCAUCACAAUGACCUUCAUCUGCCUCCACGUCUUCACAACAAGACACAGAUCUCAGAAACAGUCAAAGCACCAAACCUCAAGCACAAAAGGGAAAGGAAGCCAACAGAAGAAUCGACUUGCAUGACUUGCAAAGACAGACAGCAAAAGUACAGAAACUCCAGUAUAUAUUUGAUCAUUUGUCCUGAAUUGUAAAAAAUAUUUUAGAGCUCAUUUUAACAGAAGUAAGAGUGUAACAUAUCAUUAAAAUUUCUGAUUAAAAUGUGCUAUUUAAAAUGUUUUAAUUUAAAUAUAUUUUCUAGAAUUUUAUUUUUAGCGUUUUGUAGAAUUUUAUUUCAAAAG